Molecule: long non-coding RNA, 260 nt
Organism: Talpa occidentalis (Iberian mole)
Lineage: Eukaryota; Metazoa; Chordata; Mammalia; Eulipotyphla; Talpidae
Exons: 3
Source: RefSeq, a predicted model, not a curated record
GUGAAGUUCAAACCACCUCUCACGAUGACGAUGACGCUACAGUCCUUAGUGCUCUCUGGAAGGUUAUUUGGUUGAAUUUGGAGAAGGCAAAACAAAUAGUGUGAAAACUAACCACUACAGAAAAUCUCAGCGAAAAAAAGAACCUAAAGCCAUACUUGGAUCUUAAUUUGGAGGCAUCAGCUUCAUGGACCCUGAGCUCCUCCCUAGUCAAGGUGUGACUAUCAGGUAGGUGUUUGUGGAAGCAGAAUUUCAAGCCACAC